GACAGCAGGAAGACCUGGGCCAGAACCCUACCCUUUGAGCUCCCAUGAUGAAUCAACCCCUUUGUCCAGCACUUGGAUGGGACUCCAGGCUUUGACCCACACAAGUGAAAGGCAGCCAGACCCAACCCACCUAUAUUACAGAACCACCCAUGGGAGGGAAGAAUGCAGCAGGGGCUGGAGCUGGAACAGCAUCUCUGAGCCCAGCAGGUGGUGGCACAAGGCCUGUACCCCAUCCCGUUCCUGGUGAUUUGAUUCAGGUCACUGAGCCUCUGGAGACAGGCAAGUAAGCACAAGCCUUUUCCCUUGCCCCUUCUUAGUGGUCACUCAGGGAGGUGACCCAUAGGGGUGUGAAAGGCAGGGUUCCUAGAGCAGAGAAGACAGAGGUUGGGCAUUAUAGCCAAAAAACAGAAAAUCAACGAAUAUUUUAUUUUUUCCCUGAGGCGCUGGGGUUGCGGGGCUGCCGCAUUCCUGAGACUUUCUUAUGCUUCUGGUCCAGCACCUGGGCCAUGUAGCUCUCCUGCUGCUUCUGGAUCCGAAAGUCAGACAUGUGAUUCCUGCAAGGGAGCCGGCCGGUCGUAGGCGGUAUGUGGCCCAGGGUAGGGGCCACAGGUCAGGCUCCCUGCUUCCAUCAACAACUCCCGCCUGGCCCAGGCCCCUCACCUGAAGAUCUGUUUCUGUUGGCUGAUAACUUGCUGCAACUCCUUAAUCUCAUUCUCUUUGCCAUUAAGUAUAUCCUCUUGCUUUGUAAUGUGAGACUCAAUUUCUGUGGGGGAGAGAGUCAGGGAGGAGGGGUGGCUCCUAGCCCAAGGCCCCUUCCUGAGCUAAGGCCUUCCUGUGUGGGACUCCCCCGCCCCUGGCUCAACAUGAACAGCUGCUAACACUUCAGCAUGAAGGCAUUUAUUAUGGAGUCUUGGGAGUGGCAGGGUCUAGUGGUUGUCAGGAGCUUUACAAUUCUAUUGUGGAUGUCACGCAGGUGAGGGCAGACGAAGGUUCUUGGAGAGAGGUGGGCAGCUGCAGAUUUACAGAUGCCACUUUCUUGGUGAGACCUUCCUUUGUCUAAAAGUUACAGCUCUUCCCAAUAGUUCCUGUCAACUUCUUCCUACUUCUCAGGCAUUUCUACUUUUUUCCUUAGUGUCUAGAUCUAACAUACAUAUUUAUCUUCCAAAGUAGGGUGUAAAGCCUACAAGGUCAGGGAUUUUUAUGUUAUUUGGUGCUUUAUCCCUAAGACCUAAAACAGUACCAGGGACAUAUUAGGGGCACACUAAAUAUAUCUGUGGAACGAACGGGCGGGCUAUACCCCAGAGGCCUAGGACUCAGAAAUAUCUAGUUCAGCAAUCUCAGUCCAACUGAGGGCCAGUUGGUCACUUCCUGGCACUAGGGUUUCAGGGGUGGUGGAGGGUGCGAUCCCUACCUGUAGGAGAUAGCUCCUGAAAGUAGUGUUAGGAGUUGGGGGUAGAGGACUGGGUUGGGUUGGGGAGGACAGGGGCAAGCUCAGUGGUACAGCACGCACCUAUGCAGGGCUGCAUUCUAUCCUUGGUACUACAAAGAGAAGACGUGGGGAUUGAUUAGAACAGGGCCACACAACAUUUCAAUAAAGCUGACAGUGAUGAGGAAACAUUACCACUUUGGGCCAGUUGCCUCUCUUUUCAGACUCAUGUUCUCAUCUGUAAGAUGGGGCCAGAGCCUCUAAACUGCAGUGGAGUACAAAGGACCCAGUGAGACACUGGUAGCAAAGAACAUCCUCAAAUUAGACACACAUUUGAUAAACAGUGAUUUUCUGUGUGGGAUCAAAAUCAAAGGAGGCUGUAGGGAUUCUGCUGGUGCAUCAUUUAUGUAAGUACCCCUCAGGGAGCCCUAGAAAAUUCUGAUUCACAGAAGAAAAUCCUGCUGCCUUUAAUGGCUGAAGAUUAACUAGGACUUGAACUCUAACAAUGUAGAAACGCAGGUGCAUUUAGGGUUUUAGAAAACUUGGUAUCAGGUCAAGGCCCAGCAUGGGGGAAGAGGGGAAGGGAGGAAGAUACCGACUGACUUGCCCACAAUGCAAGUAUUGAGCCCCACAGUCAGCCAGCUAAACUGAGGUCUCUCUUUGCUUGCUCCUUUGGGCCUGUGUCUUGCUGUGUAGUCAAACUGCUGUUGAAUUUGCUCAGUAGCCCAGGUUGUCUUUGAACGCACCAUUCUCCUGCCUCAGUCUAUGGUAUAGUCACCAUGCCUGGCCUGCUUUUUGUUUUCUUUUAUGGUGCAGAUAACUGAGCUAAGAGCCUUCGCAUUGAGCUAUAUCCUUUGCUCUUUUAUUAAUUUAUUUUGAGACAGCAUCUCACUAAAUCACUUAAGCUGCCUUGGAUGGGCUCUGCAGUGCUGGCAUUACAAGUGUGCACCAGCAUGCCAGUCUGCUUGUGAAGUUCUUUAGGCAAAAGAAUUACAAAACUAUGUAACUCUUAAAACCUGUGGCAUCAGGCUGGGCAUUUAGCUCAGCAGCAUUAGCACUUGCUUGGCAAACACAAAGUUGUUAAGUUCAAUUGGUGGUACCACACACACACACACACAUACCUGUAGCAGUCAGUAAAAGAAUGAUUUUUUAAAAAAUCCCUUCCUUUGUUGCUGGGCAUGAUAGUUAAGUUGCCAGGGCACUUAAUGAGACCCUGUCUCAAAAACCAAAAGAGGACCAGGCAUUUAGCUCAGCAAUAUAAGCACCUGCCUGGCAAGCACAAGGUUGUGAGUUUGCCCCAGUACCAAAAAAAAAAAAAAAAAAAAAAAGAGGAGCUAGGCUUAGUAAUUCACACUUGUAAUUAAGGAAGAUGAAGGAGGAGGAUCACCACAAGUUCAAAGUCAGCCUGAACUACAUAUUAAGUACAAGUCCACCCUGAACUAUAUAGUGAGACCCUCUGCCAAAAAAAGAAAGACAGGAAAAAAAAGAGGACUGAACCUGUAGCUUAGGAGUAGCACUCAGGAGGCUGAUGCAGGGGUAUUUCAGGUUGGAGGCCAAUGUGGACUAUGUAGCAAGAACCUGUUUAAACAAACCUCCCUAUAAGAACAGUGAUGAACACUGUAAGGAGAUGAGCACGAUGGCAUAUACCUGUAAUCCCAGCACUCUCGAGGCUGAGGCAGGAGGAUUGUUGCAAGUUUGAGACCAACCCCAGCUAAAGACGGGAAAAAAACCCAACACUGUAAGUACAGAAACCAAACCACACAGAGGAUCGUGGCAGAGGUGGGUACAGGUCAGGGAGAGGGCCACAGCACUAGAUCGGCCCAGGUAAGAGCCUGUGGCCUGUUGGAGGGGUUCAGGACAUUCUAAGGGAGGAAGCCAGGCCCUGACUCAGUGACACAGGUGGACACAGAGCUCUGGGCUUGGGCAGACCUCUACCAAAGAAAAUGCCUGUGGGAAAGAAGUGUCCAGUUGCCCCAAGAGAGAACUCCAGAUCCCGUUAGGAGAAUCAGGGUAGGGAGGAGGACACGAGACCUGCAGCCUUGGGCAUGGAAGCAGUGACUAUCUCUGGAGUCCCAGGAGAUCCUGACAGAAGCCACUGCUUAUAACCCUUUUGGCUGUCAGCAUGCCCGGCCAGGUCAAAAUGUCACCCUGCUGCCACUUCCCAGUGAGAACUUUAACCGGCAGACAGAAGGCUGGAGUGGUGGAUGAGGGAUGCCAGGCCUCUCUAGGUGAGGGUCCCACUAGGAGGGACCUGUCCCUCUUUUGGGCCUGGACUGUUUCCUACUUGAGGUCUGUUGUAGUGAACGAGGAAGAUAUUGUGUGUGUGGAUUUCAUAUCUCAUAACCUGGGUAACAGAAGCUCAGCAUUCUGGCAAAAUGAAAGAGGUUCCUGCUGGGCGUGGUGGUGCACACCUGUAAUUCCAGCACUCAGGAGGCUGAGGCAGAAGGACCACUGGGAAUCUGAAGCCAGCCGGGGCUACUUGGUGAAUUCAAGACCAGCCUAAAUUACAUAGUGAGACCCUGUCUCAAAACUGUCCCCUGUCCACCACCACCCCUGAAAUAACAAGG
This is a long non-coding RNA of Cavia porcellus (domestic guinea pig), 3993 nucleotides long. RefSeq lists it as uncharacterized. The transcript has 2 exons. Lineage: Eukaryota; Metazoa; Chordata; Mammalia; Rodentia; Caviidae. The record is from RefSeq and is a predicted model, not a curated record.